This 250-nucleotide ribosomal RNA is filed under the name uncultured bacterium. Its description in RNAcentral is "partial 16S ribosomal RNA". It matches the Rfam family "Bacterial small subunit ribosomal RNA", at positions 524 to 773 of the family's 1533-position model. The record is from RNAcentral.
UACGGAGGGUGCAAGCAUUAAUCGGAUUUAUUGGGCGUAAAGGGCGCGUAGGCGGGAAAAUAAGUCAGAUGUGAAAUCCCGGGGCUCAACCCCGGAACUGCAUUUGAAACUAUAUUUCUAGAGGAUAGGCGGAGAAAACGGAAUUCCACAAGUAGCGGUGAAAUGCGUAGAUAUGUGGAAGAACACCUGUGGCGAAAGCGGUUUUCUAGCUUAAACCUGACGCUGAGGCGCGAAAGCAAGGGGAGCAAAC